UGGGGAAUAUUGCACAAUGGGCGCAAGCCUGAUGCAGCCAUGCCGCGUGUAUGAAGAAGGCCUUCGGGUUGUAAAGUACUUUCAGCGGGGAGGAAGGGAGUGAGGUUAAUAACCUUAUUCAUUGACGUUACCCGCAGAAGAAGCACCGGCUAACUCCGUGCCAGCAGCCGCGGUAAUACGUAGGUGGCAAGCGUUAUCCGGAUUUACUGGGCGUAAAGGGAGCGUAGGCGGAUGAUUAAGUGGGAUGUGAAAUACCCGGGCUCAACUUGGGUGCUGCAUUCCAAACUGGCAGGCUGGAGUCUUGUAGAGGGGGGUAGGAUUCCAGGUGUAGCGGUGAAAUGCGUAGAGAUCUGGAGGAAUACCGGUGGCGAAGGCGGCCCCCUGGACAAAGACUGACGCUCAGGUGCGAAAGCGUGGGGAGCAAACAGG
RNAcentral lists this ribosomal RNA (429 nucleotides) under Enterobacter sp. RNAcentral describes it as "bacterial SSU rRNA". It matches the Rfam family "Bacterial small subunit ribosomal RNA", at positions 355 to 776 of the family's 1533-position model. The record is from RNAcentral. Lineage: Bacteria; Pseudomonadati; Pseudomonadota; Gammaproteobacteria; Enterobacterales; Enterobacteriaceae.